AGGAUAAACGCUGGCGGCGUGCCUAACACAUGCAAGUCGAACGUCUCUUCUUUCGGGAAGAGGAGUGGCGGACGGGUGAGGAACACGUGGGAACCUGCCCUUCAGUGAGGAAUACCGGCGAGAAAUCGCCGACAAGACCGCAUAGCCCUCUCUGGUGAGAGCCAGAGAAGGAAAGCCUCGCAAGAGGCGCUGGAGGAGGGGCCUGCGUCCGAUUAGCUAGUUGGUGGGGUAAGAGCCUACCAAGGCGUCGAUCGGUAGCUGGUCUGAGAGGACGAUCAGCCACACUGGGAUUGAGAACGGCCCAGACUCCUACGGGGGCAGCAGUGAGGAAUUUUCGGCAAUGGGGAAACCCUGACCGAGCAACGCCGCGUGCAGGAAGACGGCCUUCGGGUUGUAAACUGCUUUUCUUGGGUACGAGCGAAGGACGGUACCAGAGGAAUCAGCCCGGCUCACUACGUGCCAGCAGCCGC
RNAcentral lists this ribosomal RNA (470 nucleotides) under uncultured bacterium. RNAcentral's name for it is "SSU rRNA". It matches the Rfam family "Bacterial small subunit ribosomal RNA", at positions 26 to 518 of the family's 1533-position model. The record is from RNAcentral.